UACGGAGGGGGCUAGCGUUAUUCGGAAUUACUGGGCGUAAAGCGCACGUAGGCGGAGCGGAAAGUUGGGGGUGAAAGCCCAGGGCUCAACCCUGGAACUGCCUUCAAAACUCCCGUUCUUGAGGUCGUGAGAGGUGAGUGGAAUUCCGAGUGUAGAGGUGAAAUUCGUAGAUAUUCGGAGGAACACCAGUGGCGAAGGCGGCUCACUGGCACGAUACUGACGCUGAGGUGCGAAAGCGUGGGGAGCAAACAGG
Molecule: ribosomal RNA, 253 nt
Filed under: uncultured bacterium
Lineage: Bacteria
Description: partial 16S ribosomal RNA
Rfam family: Bacterial small subunit ribosomal RNA
Source: RNAcentral